UGGGGAAUAUUGGACAAUGGGCGCAAGCCUGAUCCAGCCAUGCCGCGUGAGUGAUGCAGGCCCUAGGGUUGUAAAGCUCUUUCACCGGUGAAGAUAAUGACGGUAACCGGAGAAGAAGCCCCGGCUAACUUCGUGCCAGCAGCCGCGGUAAUACGAAGGGGGCUAGCGUUGUUCGGAUUUACUGGGCGUAAAGCGCACGUAGGCGGACUUUUAAGUCAGGGGUGAAAUCCCGGGGCUCAACCCCGGAACUGCCUUUGAUACUGGAAGUCUUGAGUAUGGUAGAGGUGAGUGGAAUUCCGAGUGUAGAGGUGAAAUUCGUAGAUAUUCGGAGGAACACCAGUGGCGAAGGCGGCUCACUGGACCAUUACUGACGCUGAGGUGCGAAAGCGUGGGGAGCAAACAGG
RNAcentral lists this ribosomal RNA (404 nucleotides) under Actinomycetes bacterium. RNAcentral's name for it is "Actinobacteria bacterium partial 16S ribosomal RNA". It matches the Rfam family "Bacterial small subunit ribosomal RNA", at positions 355 to 776 of the family's 1533-position model. Lineage: Bacteria; Bacillati; Actinomycetota; Actinomycetes. The record is from RNAcentral.